RNAcentral lists this ribosomal RNA (253 nucleotides) under uncultured bacterium. RNAcentral's name for it is "partial 16S ribosomal RNA". It matches the Rfam family "Bacterial small subunit ribosomal RNA", at positions 524 to 776 of the family's 1533-position model. The record is from RNAcentral.
UACGUAGGCAGCGAGCGUUGUUCGGAAUUACUGGGCGUAAAGAGUGUGUAGGCGGUGUUCCCAGUCUGUUGUGAAAUCUCCCGGCCUAACUGGGAGGGGUCGCCCAAGACUGGUGGUCUUGAGGACAGCAGAGGUGGGUGGAAUUCCUGGUGUAGUGGUGAAAUGCGUAGAGAUCAGGAGGAACACCGGUGGCGAAGGCGGCCCACUGGGCUGUCACUGACGCUGAGGCGCGAAAGCUCGGGGAGCGAACGGG